This 253-nucleotide ribosomal RNA is filed under the name uncultured bacterium. RNAcentral's name for it is "partial 16S ribosomal RNA". It matches the Rfam family "Bacterial small subunit ribosomal RNA", at positions 524 to 776 of the family's 1533-position model. The record is from RNAcentral.
UACGGAGGGUGCAAGCGUUAUCCGGAUUUACUGGGUUUAAAGGGUGCGUAGGUGGGUCUGUAAGUCAGUGGUGAAAUCUCCGAGCUUAACUCGGAAACUGCCAUUGAUACUAUAGGUCUUGAAUUAUCUGGAGGUAAGCGGAAUAUGUCAUGUAGCGGUGAAAUGCUUAGAUAUGACAUAGAACACCAAUUGCGAAGGCAGCUUGCUACGGAUCGAUUGACACUGAGGCACGAAAGCGUGGGGAUCAAACAGG